Molecule: ribosomal RNA, 1857 nt
Filed under: Spirochaetales bacterium
Lineage: Bacteria; Pseudomonadati; Spirochaetota; Spirochaetia; Spirochaetales
Description: partial 23S ribosomal RNA
Rfam family: Bacterial large subunit ribosomal RNA
Source: RNAcentral
AGAUAAGUUAAUAAGAGCGUGUGGUGAAUGCCUAGGCUCUCAGAGGCGAAGAAGGACGUGACAAGCUGCGAUAAGCUUCGAUUAGGUGCAAAUAACCGUUUGACUCGAAGAUUUCCGAAUGGGGCAACCCAUCUAUCAUAAGGUAGAUAUCCAGCAAUGGAGGCAAACCCGCUGAACUGAAACAUCUAAGUAAGCGGAGGAAGAGAAAACAAUAGUGAUUCCCUAAGUAGUGGCGAGCGAACGGGGAAUAGCCCAAACCAACAAUGUUUCGGCAUUGUUGGGGUUGUAGGACUGCAACAUGAGAUUAUUUGUAAAAUGGAACCAACUGGAAAGUUGGGCCGUAGAAGGUGAAAGCCCAGUACAUGUAAGCAAAUAUAAUCUAGCAGUAUCCUGAGUAGCACGGGACACGUGAAACCCUGUGUGAAUCCGGCGGGACCAUCCGCCAAGGCUAAAUACUCCUGAGAGACCGAUAGUGAACUAGUACCGUGAGGGAAAGGUGAAAAGUACCCUGAACAAGGGAGUGAAAUAGAACCUGAAACCGCACGCUUACAAGCGGUCGGAGUUCCGUUUACGGAAUGACGGCGUGCCUUUUGCAUAAUGAGCCUACGAGUUACUCCUCACUAGCGAGGUUAAGAUUUUCAGAAUCGAAGCCGAAGCGAAAGCAAGUCUGAAUAGGGCGUUUAGUUAGUGGGGGUAGACGCGAAACCGUGUGAUCUACCCAUGGUCAGGUUGAAGUGUCAGUAAAAUGACAUGGAGGACCGAACCCGUUGACGUUGAAAAGUCUUGGGAUGAACUGUGGGUAGGGGUGAAAGGCCAAUCAAACUCGGAAAUAGCUCGUACUCCCCGAAAUGCAUUUAGGUGCAGCCUCAUUAAAGUGUCAUAGAGGUAAAGCUACUGAUUAGGCUAGGGGGCUUCACCGCCUACCAACCCUUGAUAAACUCUGAAUGCUAUGACAUGAUUAAUGGGAGUGAGGGCAUGGGUGCUAAGGUCCAUGCCCGAGAGGGAAAGAACCCGGACCAUCAGCUAAGGUCCCCAAAUAUAUACUAAGUUGACCUAACGUGGUCUGAUUGCUAAGACAGCUAGGAUGUUGGCUUGGAAGCAGCCAUUCAUUUAAAGAGUGCGUAACAGCUCACUAGUCGAGCGAUCGGGCGUGGAUGAUAAUCGGGCAUAAGUAUAUUACCGAAGCUAUGGAUUCUGCAUUAACAUGUAGAGUGGUAGGGGAGCAUUCCAAGGGCGUUGAAUGUGAGGCGCGAGCCUUGCUGGAGCGCUUGGAAAAGCAAAUGUAGGCAUAAGUAACGAUAAUGCGGGCGAGAAACCCGCACACCGAUAGACUAAGGUUUCCUGAUCAACGCUAAUCGGAUCAGGGUUAGUCGGGACCUAAGGCGAACCCGAAAGGGGUAGUCGAUGGACAACUGGUCAAAAUUCCAGUACUUCAAUAUACUGCGAUGGGGUGACGAAGAUGUGAAAGUACCGCGUACUGACGGAAUAGUACGUUGAAGGGUGUAGAUGUUGAUCUGAGAUUGGUAAAUCCGCUCGGAGAGUCGAACCUGAAAGUACCGUGAGCCUUCGGGCAAGCGGAUAGUGUACCUAACCACGCUUCCAAGAAAAACCUCUAAGCUUCAGGUAUAUUGGACCCGUACCGCAAACCGACACAGGUAGUCAAGGAGAGAAUCCUGAGGUGCUCGAGUGAUUCAUGGCUAAGGAACUAGGCAAAAUAACCCCGUAACUUCGGGAGAAGGGGAUCCCGACUAUAAACGUCGGGACGCAGAGAAAUGGCCCAAGCGACUGUUUAUCAAAAACACAUGGCUUUGCAAAAUCGAAAGAUGAAGUAUAAGGCCUGACACCUGCCCGGUGCUG